Molecule: ribosomal RNA, 550 nt
Filed under: uncultured bacterium
Lineage: Bacteria
Description: bacterial SSU rRNA
Rfam family: Bacterial small subunit ribosomal RNA
Source: RNAcentral
UAGGGAAUCUUCGGCAAUGGACGGAAGUCUGACCGAGCAACGCCGCGUGAGUGAAGAAGGUUUUCGGAUCGUAAAGCUCUGUUGUAAGAGAAGAACGAGUGUGAGAGUGGAAAGUUCACACUGUGACGGUAUCUUACCAGAAAGGGACGGCUAACUACGUGCCAGCAGCCGCGGUAAUACGUAGGUCCCGAGCGUUGUCCGGAUUUAUUGGGCGUAAAGCGAGCGCAGGCGGUUAGAUAAGUCUGAAGUUAAAGGCUGUGGCUUAACCAUAGUACGCUUUGGAAACUGUUUAACUUGAGUGCAGAAGGGGAGAGUGGAAUUCCAUGUGUAGCGGUGAAAUGCGUAGAUAUAUGGAGGAACACCGGUGGCGAAAGCGGCUCUCUGGUCUGUAACUGACGCUGAGGCUCGAAAGCGUGGGGAGCAAACAGGAUUAGAUACCCUGGUAGUCCACGCCGUAAACGAUGAGUGCUAGGUGUUGGGUCCUUUCCGGGACUCAGUGCCGCAGCUAACGCAUUAAGCACUCCGCCUGGGGAGUACGACCGCAAGGNUG